UCGGACUGGAGUCUGCAACCCGACUCCACGAAGUUGGAUUCGCUAGUAAUCGCGCAUCAGCCAUGGCGCGGUGAAUACGUUCCCGGGCCUUGUACACACCGCCCGUCAAGCCAUGGGAGCCGGGGGCGCCUGAAGUCCGGGACCGCGAGGACCGGCCUAGGGCGAAAACUGGUGACUGGGGCUAAGUCGUAACAAGGUACC
This 201-nucleotide ribosomal RNA is filed under the name uncultured bacterium. Its description in RNAcentral is "partial 16S ribosomal RNA". It matches the Rfam family "Bacterial small subunit ribosomal RNA", at positions 1293 to 1500 of the family's 1533-position model. The record is from RNAcentral.